RNAcentral lists this ribosomal RNA (253 nucleotides) under uncultured bacterium. RNAcentral describes it as "partial 16S ribosomal RNA". It matches the Rfam family "Bacterial small subunit ribosomal RNA", at positions 524 to 776 of the family's 1533-position model. The record is from RNAcentral.
UACGUAGGUGGCAAGCGUUGUCCGGAUUUACUGGGCGUAAAGAGCGCGCAGGCGGUCGUUCAAGUCGCGUGUGAAAGCCCCCGGCUCAACUGGGGAGGGUCACGCGAUACUGAUCGACUCGAAGGCAGGAGAGGGUAGUGGAAUUCCCGGUGUAGUGGUGAAAUGCGUAGAUAUUAGGAAGAACACCAGUGGCGAAGGCGGCUCACUGGCCCGGUACUGACGCUGAGGCGCGAAAGCGUGGGUAGCAAACAGG